This 546-nucleotide ribosomal RNA is filed under the name uncultured bacterium. RNAcentral's name for it is "bacterial SSU rRNA". It matches the Rfam family "Bacterial small subunit ribosomal RNA", at positions 355 to 896 of the family's 1533-position model. The record is from RNAcentral.
GUAAGAAUCUUCCGCAAUGGGCGAAAGCCUGACGGAGCGAUGCCGCGUGAGCGAAGAAGGCGGGAACGUUGUAAAGCUCUUUUCUCAGGGAGGAAUAAGGGGGAGAGGAAAUGCUCCUCUGAUGACGAGAACUGAGGAAGAAGCCCCGGCUAAUUACGUGCCAGCAGCCGCGGUAACACGUAAGGGGCGAGCGUUGUUCGGAAUUAUUGGGCGUAAAGGGCGUGUAGGCGGCUAUGUAAGCCUGGUGUGAAAGACUUCAGCUUAACUGGAGGCUCGCGCUGGGAAUUAUGUAGCUUGAGUAUAGGAGGGGGAGCUAGAAUUCCAGGUGUAGGGGUGAAAUCUGUAGAUAUCUGGAAGAAUACCGGAGGCGAAGGCGAGCUCCUGGCCAUAUACUGACGCUGAGGCGCGAAAGCGUGGGGAGCGAACAGGAUUAGAUACCCUGGUAGUCCACGCUGUAAACGUUGUGCACUAGGUGUCGGCCUUACGGGGUCGGUACCGGAGUUAACGCGUUAAGUGCACCGCCUGGGGAGUAUGCUCGCAAGGGUG